AGAAACUCAGAUCUUUAGAAGAAUGAGCAUUGGCAAAGAAUAAGUGAAGGCAGCAAAUAAAUAAAUGCGUCAUCAAAUUAGAAGAAGAGAAUUUCAACUUCCUAAUCAGAGACAAAGAUUAAGAAACUGAUUUCUGUUGCCUGUGCUUGCUACAAGAAAACUGGACAAAUACAUAUGGAUAACUUUUUUGAAAAGGUACUAAAUCCACCCCACCCCUAUUCCCACAUUUCUCCUUGAGUGUGGGCUGUACUUAGUGACUUGCAUCUAAUGAAUAGACUAUGGGAAAAAGGGAAAGUAACUUUAGAGUGGAAAAAAAUGACCAACACUAUCUUAAGGUUGAUAUCAAUGCUAACAUCUUCAGUGACUCAGUGUUAAUGAUAUGUACCCUUGCUAUGAUGUGAUAACAGUGGCACUUGACAUCUGUGAUAUUUUUUCUCCAAAUCCAUCACCCCAGUCUAACAGUGAGAAAAGCACUAAACAAAUCCACAAUGAGGGACAUUAUACAAAAUACCUAACCAGUACUUCAUGAAAACUCCAAGGUCAUCAAAAUCAAAGACAACACGUUGCCACAGACCAGAGAAUACUAAGACCAGAGAAUGCACUGGCCAAAUGCAAUGUGGUACCCUGGGCGGGAUCUGAAAACAAAGGACAUUAGGGAAAAGCUAAUGAAAUCUGAAUAAAGUCUGAAGUUUAGUUAAUAGUGGUGCAUCAGUAUUGGUUUGCUGGGGUUUCCAUAGUGGUACACUGGAAACGAAUCCAACUAGGAACCAUGAGGCUGUGGGUUUGAUCCCUGGCCCUGCUCAGUGGGUUAAGGAUCUGACAUUGCCGUGAGCUGUGGUGUAGCUUGCAGACGUGGCUUGGAUCUGAUGUUGCUGUGGCUGUGGCAUAGGCCAGCAGCUGUAGCUCCGAUUGGACCCCUAGCCUGGGAACCUCCAUAUGCCAUGGAUGUGGCCCUAAAAAACAAAAAUAUGUGUGUAUAUAUAUUGGUUUGCUGUGAUAAAUAUACUAUGGUUAUAUAAGAUGUUAAUAGUGGAAAUUGGACAUUGUUAACUAUUUUUUAUUCACUUUGUUGUCCAAUUUGCUACAUGAAUUUGUAUGCUUAAAAAUAUUUUUUAUUCAAGAGCAAUAAAGAAUGAUUAUAGAAAUAUCAAUCCAGACAAAAAUUUACUGAUCAUCAAAGAACACUAUCCUUUUUUUUUUUUUUUUUUUUUUUGUCUUCUGUCCUUUUGAUGGACAUUUACUAUAGUCCAUUUUUUAGGGAAUUAUAUAAGGAAUAAAUACUGUAGAUGGAAAAGGGUCCAUCGUUUAACACUUACAUUUAUUAAGCUUCAUCUGUGAAUUCAUUGAGUAGAUUUAUAGUGUCCUAGGAUGGUACAAGUUAGAAAGGUUUUGAACCUCAAUUUUGGCCUUAGUUAAUAAGUAAUAUUUUUGCUAUGUUAGUUCUUUUUCAUUUAAUUUUUUUUCCAUUGGCAGGAGCUUUCAGAGGAACGAUUUAUGGUUUUGAGAAUUGCUGGUUUGCUACUAUAUAUAUUCAUUAACUGCUAAACACUCAGAGAAUGUACGCCUCAGGGAACUGGGUUAAUUGUCCAUGCUAACCAAGUACAGUGAUAAAAUGUUUAACAAAUGAAAUUUUCCACUUCUACUUCCCUUGUAGGAAGUUUAUUAGCAUUUACAACCACCACGAUGUUGGGAAUCAACACUUAUUAAAAACCACUUUGUGUAGAAAUACUGCCAACUUCAUGCCAACUCUUGAGGCUGAAGGGAUUCAUCGGCACUAAGCAUGAAUAGGCUUUGUUCUCAGCCACUGGUGUUACCUAGACUUUAAUUCAGGAGUGACUACAGCAAAUACUAGUUCAUGAGAGAGCUAAGGCAGACAUUUCAGAAUCUUGGUGAAGGGUUUUUCUCAUUGCAAGAUACUUCAGAAAGAAGUGAGAAGUAUUGGCCAUAUAACAAAGUGGCCAAGCUUUGAUCUGAAAGCCAAUGGUACUGUGUUUCUUAUGACAGAGAAAUUAAAAUGUUACCUUCUUAUCUGCCUGUUAUAAAGCUGUCAUGUAUAUAAUAGGUAUAAACUUAAUUGCCAUUAAGUUUAAAGAUUAUGGCAAUUUGGGUAAGUCAUUAAAACUUUCUGAGGAUCAUUUACCUUACCUCUAGUAAAUGGGUAAAAAAAUACAAAUUUUAUAAGUCACUACAAGAAAAAAAAAUUUUUAAGCGUUUAUUAAAGUGCUUUUAAAAAUGUAAAGUGCAUGUUUGGUCUUCCUAAUUAUCUGGUAGAUACAGGAGAAGGAUGAAGAAAUUGGAUUCUUCAUUUUGACUAUUGCCACCUAACCCAUAUGACUACCAAUAAAAGGGAUUGCUGAAUUGUUUUAAUCAUGCAUUAACCAUCCAUUGUUAAUCUCUUUCAAGAAAACUGAAACAAAUGACUCAGGAGAAAUCUCUAAGUUUUCAUUAUGUGCUUUGGUAUAUAAAAAUUGUGGGUUUGCAGGCACAGGAUUCUAAAUAUUUAACUUAAUACAAAGCAUCUGAAUUAGUAUUCCCAUUUAAAUACUUACAGAUAAUUAGUGCCAAACUGGAAUUUUUAUUACAUAUUCCUUUCUUCAUUUGGAUCUCAGAAGAUAAACCAAACCCCUUAUUUUUGGUGUUUUUGUGCAUGUCUAUGUGGGUUUGAGUGUUUUGCAAAUAUUUGGUACUUAGCAGAUUUUUUUUUCCAAGCAGAUGUUCUUCAAAUACUUCUAAGAAUUUGUACUUAAUCAUGAUUAAACUAACUUUAAGAACAACAUUUAUGAAUGGAAAACAGAUAUCAUUUCUAUAAAAAGAGACAUCUCACUAAAUUCCUCUAGAAAAAUUAUAAUUUACUUGGCCUUGCUGCAGACUUAAAGACACUAUAGAGGUUUUUGAAAGACCUUAUUUAGCAAGAGUUUCAGGUAAGUAGACUUUUUGAAUGCUAAAAUUAACCCAGAUGUUUUCCGUCUAUGUUAUACAAUUAUAAAUGUGUGACAUGUAUGUGUAACUUGGUCCCCAUGCUGUGCAGUGGAAAAAA
Molecule: long non-coding RNA, 3037 nt
Filed under: Sus scrofa (pig)
Lineage: Eukaryota; Metazoa; Chordata; Mammalia; Artiodactyla; Suidae
Description: lncRNA (ENSSSCG00050043673.1)
Source: RNAcentral